This 321-nucleotide ribosomal RNA is filed under the name uncultured bacterium. RNAcentral's name for it is "bacterial SSU rRNA". It matches the Rfam family "Bacterial small subunit ribosomal RNA", at positions 1190 to 1510 of the family's 1533-position model. The record is from RNAcentral.
UCAUCAUGGCCCUUACGGCAGGGGCUACACACGUGCUACAAUGGUCGGUACAAAGGGUUGCUACACAGCGAUGUGAUGCUAAUCUCAAAAAGCCGAUCGUAGUCCGGAUUGGAGUCUGCAACUCGACUCCAUGAAGUCGGAAUCGCUAGUAAUCGCGGAUCAGAAUGCCGCGGUGAAUACGUUCCCGGGCCUUGUACACACCGCCCGUCACACCAUGGGAGUUUGUUGCACCAGAAGUAGGUAGUCUAACCGCAAGGAGGACGCUUACCACGGUGUGGCCGAUGACUGGGGUGAAGUCGUAACAAGGUAGCCGUAGGGGAA